This 352-nucleotide ribosomal RNA is filed under the name uncultured Synergistaceae bacterium. RNAcentral describes it as "bacterial SSU rRNA". It matches the Rfam family "Bacterial small subunit ribosomal RNA", at positions 1032 to 1382 of the family's 1533-position model. The record is from RNAcentral. Lineage: Bacteria; Thermotogati; Synergistota; Synergistia; Synergistales; Synergistaceae.
GCACAGGUGCUGCAUGGCUGUCGUCAGCUCGUGUCGUGAGAUGUUGGGUUAAGUCCCGCAACGAGCGCAACCCUACUUGCCAGUUGCUAACAGGAGAGCUGAGCACUCUGGCGAGACUGCCGCCGACAAGGCGGAGGAAGGUGGGGAGUGACGUCAAGUCAUCAUGGCCUUUAUGCCCAGGGCUACACACGUGCUACAAUGGCCGGCACAGACGGCAGCUUAGUGGCGACACUUGGCAAAUCCUCUAAAGCCGGUCCCAGUUCGGAUUGUAGUCUGCAACUCGACUACAUGAAGCCGGAAUCGCUAGUAAUCGCAGAUCAGCCAAGCUGCGGUGAAUACGUUCCCGGGCCUU